This 497-nucleotide ribosomal RNA is filed under the name uncultured bacterium. RNAcentral describes it as "partial 16S ribosomal RNA". It matches the Rfam family "Bacterial small subunit ribosomal RNA", at positions 28 to 507 of the family's 1533-position model. The record is from RNAcentral.
GAUGAACGCUGGCGGCGUGCCUAAUACAUGCAAGUCGAGCGAACGGACGAGAAGCUUGCUUCUCUGAUGUUAGCGGCGGACGGGUGAGUAACACGUGGAUAACCUACCUAUAAGACUGGGAUAACUUCGGGAAACCGGAGCUAAUACCGGAUAAUAUUUUGAACCGCAUGGUUCAAAAGUGAAAGACGGUCUUGCUGUCACUUAUAGAUGGUUCCGCGCUGCAUUAGCUAGUUGGUAAGGUAACGGCUUACCAAGGCAACGAUGCAUAGCCGACCUGAGAGGGUGAUCGGCCACACUGGAACUGAGACACGGUCCAGACUCCUACGGGAGGCAGCAGUAGGGACUCUUCCGCAAUGGGCGAAAGCCUGACGGAGCAACGCCGCGUGAGUGAUGAAGGUCUUCGGAUCGUAAAACUCUGUUAUUAGGGAAGAACAUAUGUGUAAGUAACUGUGCACAUCUUGACGGUACCUAAUCAGAAAGCCACGGCUAACUACGUG